UACAAUCCUACACACAAUCCAUUGAAAAUGA
RNAcentral lists this non-coding RNA (31 nucleotides) under Mus musculus (house mouse). Lineage: Eukaryota; Metazoa; Chordata; Mammalia; Rodentia; Muridae. The record is from RNAcentral.